RNAcentral lists this ribosomal RNA (392 nucleotides) under uncultured bacterium. RNAcentral's name for it is "partial 16S ribosomal RNA". It matches the Rfam family "Bacterial small subunit ribosomal RNA", at positions 523 to 918 of the family's 1533-position model. The record is from RNAcentral.
AUACGGAGGAUCCGAGCGUUAUCCGGAUUUAUUGGGUUUAAAGGGUGCGCAGGCGGCCAUUUAAGUCAGCGGUUAAAUCGUGGGGCUCAACCCCAUUCUGCCGUUGAUACUGGGUGGCUUGAUUGCGGUCGAGGUUGGCGGAAUUCGUUGUGUAGCGGGGAAAUGCAUAGAUAUGACGAAGAACACCGAUUGGGUAGGCAGCUGACCAGACCGCAAAUGACGCUCAUGCACGAAAGUGCGGGGAUCGAACAGGAUUAGAUACCCUGGUAGUCCGCACAGUAAACGAUGAAUACUUGUUUUCGGCGAUAUAAUGUCGGAGGCAAAGCGAAAGCGAUAAGUAUUCCACCUGGGGAGUACGCCGGCAACGGUGAAACUCAAAGGAAUUGACGGGG